AUAAACAGUUAUUUGGAACCAAAACUCAGGAUGUCCUGGGAGAGGCUAGAUUAGGAAUCCUUUGAUUUGGUAGUCAUGAAAGUGAAGUAUCUAUAUUUUAACAGAAUGAUUAGUGGCAGAGGAAUCAUCUAAGAAAACUGAGAAGGCUCUGCCAGAGUGAUGGGAAGAGAACUAGAUGAGAAAGCACUGUUCUGGAAGACAUGCUCCUAUGAGCCAUGGAGAGAAGAGGAGAGGCAAGAAGCUAUUUGUGAUGUCAUUUGCCUGUGUCAUGGCCUGCCUUCCCUAGAUAUUGUCCUAAUGUGAGCAUCACACCUAAUAUACUGAAGUAGAGUGCUGACUGUUCCUUACGGACAUUUCUGAUGGUAAAUAAAUACAUAGAGAUCGCUCGUGCCUUUAACAGAACAAUACAUUGUAAGCACAGUUAUCUCAUUUUUAAACAAACAUGUAAUAAAUACCUUUGCUUUUAUUA
Long non-coding RNA from Mandrillus leucophaeus (drill), 469 nucleotides. RefSeq lists it as uncharacterized. The record is from RefSeq and is a predicted model, not a curated record. The transcript has 2 exons. Lineage: Eukaryota; Metazoa; Chordata; Mammalia; Primates; Cercopithecidae.